RNAcentral lists this ribosomal RNA (253 nucleotides) under uncultured bacterium. RNAcentral's name for it is "partial 16S ribosomal RNA". It matches the Rfam family "Bacterial small subunit ribosomal RNA", at positions 524 to 776 of the family's 1533-position model. The record is from RNAcentral.
UACGGAGGGGGCGAGCGUUAUUCGGAAUUAUUGGGCGUAAAGGGCGCGUAGGCGGCUCUUUAAGUCAAAGGUGAAAUCCCUCGGCUCAACUGAGGAACUGCCUUUGAAACUGAGGAGCUUGAGUCCGGGAGGGGGUAGCGGAAUUCCCAGUGUAGCGGUGAAAUGCGUAGAUAUCAGGAGGAACACCAGUGGCGAAGGCGGUGUUCUGGGCCUGUACUGACGCUGAUGCGCGAAAGCGUGGGGAGCGAACAGG